ACUAUAUUUUGACCCAAAAACAUUUUUUUGCACUUUCUUGAAAUUGUGGAAUUUAAUUUCCACAAUCUCUCAAAUAUUAGACAAUUCCAUGGCCAAACAUAUAUUUGGCCAACAUUUUCCCAAAAAUUACCUCCAAAAUAUAAGGCCAAAAAGGUCCUUGCUUGUUCACGUGAAUAUCCAUCAGCAGACAUCACAUGUCGCCAUGGCAAGUGAAGGUACCAAUCAGAAGAAAUUACCAAGAUUUCUUUGCCUUCAUGGAUUUAGAACAAGUGGAGCAAUUUUGAAGAAGCAAAUUUUUGAUAAAUGGCCAACUCAAGUUGUGGAUAAAUUGGAUCUUGUUUUUAUUGAUGCACCUUUUCCAUGUCAAGGCAAAUCUGAAGUUGAGGGCAUAUUUGACCCUCCUUAUUACGAAUGGUAUCAGUUCAAUAAGGUUGCAGUUCUAAUUUUUAUUUUUUCUGAAUUAAAGCAAUAAAGUACUAAAUCUCGGUAGAUCGUGGCGACAAGGCUACCCUGCCACUUAAAAUGACCCAUUGCUUGUUUAGAUGGUAUUCUAAUUGUAGUUAAAGCUUGUUACAUGAGUUUAUGCUAAAUUAAUUGAAAAAGGAAAAGAAAAAAUAUUUUUAUUUUGUUUUAUAACUGUUGUUGUUUUGAACUAACAACAAUAGUAACAAUCAAAUGGAGUCAUAAUUAUGGACUUGUGUUAAUAUAAAAUAUAAAAAAUUCUAGUAAGUUUUAUAAAUUCCUAAAGAAACCAAUAACUAUAUUUUGACCCAAAAACAUUUUUUUGCACUUUCUUGAAAUUGUGGAAUUUAAUUUCCACAAUCUCUCAAAUAUUAGACAAUUCCAUGGCCAAACAUAUAUUUGGCCAACAUUUUCCCAAAAAUUACCUCCAAAAUAUAAGGCCAAAAAGGUCCUUGCUUGUUCACGUGAAUAUCCAUCAGCAGACAUCACAUGUCGCCAUGGCAAGUGAAGGUACCAAUCAGAAGAAAUUACCAAGAUUUCUUUGCCUUCAUGGAUUUAGAACAAGUGGAGCAAUUUUGAAGAAGCAAAUUUUUGAUAAAUGGCCAACUCAAGUUGUGGAUAAAUUGGAUCUUGUUUUUAUUGAUGCAC
RNAcentral lists this long non-coding RNA (1110 nucleotides) under Capsicum annuum. RNAcentral describes it as "long non-coding RNA (CANN_LNC006250)". The record is from RNAcentral. Lineage: Eukaryota; Viridiplantae; Streptophyta; Magnoliopsida; Solanales; Solanaceae.